UACGGGGGGAGCAAGCGUUGUUCGGAUUUACUGGGCGUAAAGGGCGCGUAGGCGGCCACCGCAAGUCGAUUGAGAAAUCUCCGGGCUUAACCCGGAAAGGUCAACCGAUACUGCGGGGCUAGAGUGCGGAAGGGGCAACUGGAAUUCUUGGUGUAGCGGUGAAAUGCGUAGAUAUCAAGAGGAACACCUGCGGCGAAGGCGGGUUGCUGGGCCGACACUGACGCUGAUGCGCGAAAGCUAGGGGAGCGAACGGG
RNAcentral lists this ribosomal RNA (254 nucleotides) under uncultured bacterium. RNAcentral's name for it is "partial 16S ribosomal RNA". It matches the Rfam family "Bacterial small subunit ribosomal RNA", at positions 524 to 776 of the family's 1533-position model. The record is from RNAcentral.